RNAcentral lists this long non-coding RNA (1019 nucleotides) under Nothobranchius furzeri (turquoise killifish). RNAcentral's name for it is "lncRNA (ENSNFUG00015018796.1)". Lineage: Eukaryota; Metazoa; Chordata; Actinopteri; Cyprinodontiformes; Nothobranchiidae. The record is from RNAcentral.
UUAAAAGAAAGGAAAAGGAGAGAGAAAAUGAAUAGGAAAGAGGAAAAUCAGUGGAUGCCGGGAAAGGUGGCAUAGAAAGAGCAGAAUUAGGAAAGGGUGGUGACGAAGGUCACACAAAAGCCACAUUGAACAGGUGAGUUUUCAGCUGCUUUUUGAAGGAGACUCCUGAGUCCACUAAUCUCCAGCUCAGGGGACAGAGUUCCAGAGUCUGGAUGACACUAAACCGCACCCUAUGUACUUUAGACCUGAUUUUUAUAGUUAUAUGGUAUGAACUUGAUUUCGUUUUAUUCAUUUUCAAAAACAUUUCAAUGAUUAUUUCCAGAGAAUGGUAAAAACUACAUAUUGUCUCUUUAUUGCAUUAUUUGUUAAAAAAGCAUGUUAACCCCCUAGCAAUGCAGCGUCUCGCCCAUGGAACAAAACCUCAUUGAGUUCAUUAAACCUGGAAAUUUAAGAGGUUAAAAAAAUCUUUAAAGUGACAGUGUGUAGUUUUUUUUACCAUUUAUCUCUAGAAAUAUCCAUCUGAAUGUCGUUGUGGAUUAAAAGAUGCCCAGUUGUUGAAAAAUAUUGGCAGUUUUAUAAUAUUUAACCAUAAAAAAAUCUGUGCUAAAAUACAUGAGAGUGGGUCUAAGGGUGUGUCCGAAUCCACAGGAAGGAUGCUUAUGAGUACGGGUCCUCGCAGGUCUAGAAAGGCCGGGUCCUUGAAGACCGCUAAAACCGGAACCCAGCGGCUCUGAAUUCGGACAGUCUAGCCUUCACCUCUACGGUGGCCCGUAGGUCCGGUCCCGUCACAGCCGUGGCGGCAGCUACACGCAAAGGAAAAAUGCUAAAGCUAGCGAAAAUGGAGCAGGAAUAUUAAGGAGCUACAGCAGCUUCACGUCCAUCAGCAGCGUUUGUUCACAACCGUUUUCAGGUCAGCAUGCACUGUGCUGCACAUCUGCCUCUGUGCUGGUGAAGUUGUGGGUCUGGAGGAUGAGCCUGAGGAAGAUGUGUGUGGAGGAGGUCAGUGGUGCUCUGUCCUG